UACAGAAGCCCCGAGCAUUACCCGGAUUCACUGGGCGUAAAGGGUGCGUAGGCGGAUAUGUUAGUCAGGUGUUAAAUCCUGGGGCUCAACCUCAGGCUCGCAUUUGAAACGGCAUAUCUAGAAGGAGUCAGAGGUAAACAGAACUCUCGGUGUAGGGGUGAAAUCCGUUGAUAUCGAGGGGAAUACCAAAUGCGAAGGCAGUUUACUGGGACUUUCUUGACGCUGAGGCACGAAAGCGUGGGUAGCGAACGGG
RNAcentral lists this unclassified non-coding RNA (253 nucleotides) under uncultured Parcubacteria group bacterium. RNAcentral describes it as "contains 16S-23S intergenic spacer region". It matches the Rfam family "Bacterial small subunit ribosomal RNA", at positions 524 to 776 of the family's 1533-position model. The record is from RNAcentral.